RNAcentral lists this ribosomal RNA (254 nucleotides) under uncultured bacterium. RNAcentral's name for it is "partial 16S ribosomal RNA". It matches the Rfam family "Bacterial small subunit ribosomal RNA", at positions 524 to 776 of the family's 1533-position model. The record is from RNAcentral.
UACGUAGGGUGCAAGCGUUGUCCGGAAUUAUUGGGCGUAAAGAGCUCGUAGGCGGUCUGUCGCGUCGGCUGUGAAAACUCGGGGCUCAACUCCGAGCUUGCAGUCGAUACGGGCAGGCUAGAGUUCGGCAGGGGAGACUGGAAUUCCUGGUGGUAGCGGUGAAAUGCGCAGAUAUCAGGAGGAACACCGGUGGCGAAGGCGGGUCUCUGGGCCGAUACUGACGCUGAGGAGCGAAAGCGUGGGGAGCGAACAGG